This 273-nucleotide ribosomal RNA is filed under the name uncultured Actinomycetales bacterium. RNAcentral describes it as "partial 16S ribosomal RNA". It matches the Rfam family "Bacterial small subunit ribosomal RNA", at positions 529 to 802 of the family's 1533-position model. Lineage: Bacteria; Bacillati; Actinomycetota; Actinomycetes; Actinomycetales. The record is from RNAcentral.
AGGGCGCGAGCGUUGUCCGGAAUUAUUGGGCGUAAAGGGCUCGUAGGCGGUUUGUCGCGUCUAGCGUUUAAGGCUCGGGCUUAACCCGGGUUUGCGUUGGGUACGGGCAGGCUUGAGUGCGGUAGGGGUAACUGGAAUUCCUGGUGUAGCGGUGGAAUGCGCAGAUAUCAGGAGGAACACCGGUGGCGAAGGCGGGUUACUGGGCCGUUACUGACGCUGAGGAGCGAGAGCGUGGGGAGCGAACAGGAUUAGAUACCCUGGUAGUCAAGGGCG